Molecule: non-coding RNA, 336 nt
Organism: Vicia faba (fava bean)
Lineage: Eukaryota; Viridiplantae; Streptophyta; Magnoliopsida; Fabales; Fabaceae
Source: the annotation of a GenBank genome assembly
GCGAACCAAAUUCAUUUUUCAUUCAUCAAACGCACACGUUUUUGCAUACAAGUAACAAAAUUUCAAAUUAACUCCAAAUUACACUCAAAUUUUAAACUCAACUUUCAACAUUAUAUUAAAAAACACAAGUUCAACAGAAUUGCAUCUCAACUUCAUCUUGACCACACAAUCAACAAUCAUCAAUGGUCUCAAUUGCACAAUAUCUAUUACCACAUAUCAAUGAAAUUCCCUCUCCAAACUCAACAAAACCUUAACUGUUUUCCCCCUCAUUCCUUCAUGAAUUCCCUCCCAAUUUGGCACUCAAUUUUAAUCACUCACCUAUAUAACAACACCUAA